AACGUCAGGAAAAAAACUGCAAGGGACUAGGAACUGUGCGCAGGCGCCAUAAGGGUACUCUGUUGGGCUUUCACAGCGGGGCUUCGCUGGCCUCAAUCCGGAGGGAGGGAAAGAACCCGUGAGUCCCUUGUUUUUAACUAUAGCCUUAGGUUGGACAAUGAGUUUGAACUUAUAGAGCCCUAACCCUAACGGGGAGUCAGCCCGACUGGGUUUGAGGAGUGAGCAAGGAAGGCUUCCAGGCCUCCCUCGCUGCCUGGGGAAACCUGUUUUCGGUGAGCUCUUCAGCCAUGUGCAAGUCCCGAUUCUCACUUUUUGACAGACUCUGUCGCCAGAUAGGUAGCAAGCUUUAAAAUAGAACAAAGGGACACUCCUCUGCAAAUAAGGCUCUUUGUGGUUUGUGCAUCUGCCCUGACUGAGCAAGGGUUCAGUGGACUGCAGGCUUAGGUAGACUCCCACCUUAAAUGACUGCUCUUUCCCCCAAAAGCUCAAGCUCCAGGGAAAAGACCUGGACAAUCAUCUUUCACCUUAAGCAUGGAAAUUUUUACUCCAUUUUACAUGGCUUCCCAGUUUCCACUACCAGAGCCAAACUCUCUUGGCACGUAUGACAACAAAACUGCUUUCCUGUAUAGGAAAGGAAAUGGGAUUCGAGAUGUUUCUGUUGAACUGGGCUCUGCUCAUAAGGCAUAAGCAUGGGAAGCCAAGGGAGAAGAGAUUGUGGAUAAAUCUGACAUCUGGCAACCUACCUACUUGAGUGUGGACUGUGCGUGUCUCUGGAUAGGGAGUGAUGGGUAACAAAAACUUGUACAUAAGGGAGACAUUUAGUAUCUCAGAGCCUGAAGUUCUUCAUUCACAAAAUCCGAAAACAACCAGUGAAUUGGCCGGUUUUGUGUGUCAACUUGCCACAAGCUUGAACCAUUAGACAGGAAGGAGCCUCAGUUGAGGAAAUGCUUCCACGAGAUCUAGCUGUAAGGCAUUUCUCAAUUAGUGAUCAAGUGGGGGGGGGGGGAGGACCCAGCCCAUUGUGGGUGGUGCCAUUUCUGAGCUGGUGGUCUUGGGUUCUAUAAGAAAGCAGUCUUGUGAAACAAGCCAGUAAGCAGCACACUCCAUGGCCUCCGCAUCAACUCCUGCUUCCAGGCUCCUGUCCUGCUUGAGUUCCUGUCCUGACUUCCUUUGGUGAUGAACAGUGAUGUGGAAGUGUAAACUGAAUAAAUCCUUUACUCCACCAA
Molecule: non-coding RNA, 1226 nt
Organism: Rattus norvegicus (Norway rat)
Lineage: Eukaryota; Metazoa; Chordata; Mammalia; Rodentia; Muridae
Source: RefSeq, a predicted model, not a curated record